Molecule: ribosomal RNA, 1317 nt
Filed under: Triticum aestivum (bread wheat)
Lineage: Eukaryota; Viridiplantae; Streptophyta; Magnoliopsida; Poales; Poaceae
Description: partial small subunit ribosomal RNA
Source: RNAcentral
AUGGGUAACUGCUUCGGCUCCGAAGAGACCGACGUGGAGGCUGUCAAGGCAGUGGCGCAUCAUGCUCAUGCCAGAGCAGCGAUGGCGAGGCCCGGCAUGGUCGCGCCCCAGCCCAAUGCACCCGCAGCAAAGAGCUCCCCGGGGCAGGCUCGGAAGUCGCCGAGCGCGCCCACGACCUCCGGCAGCGGCAGCGGGAGCGGCCGUCCGGUGGCUGGAGGCGCCACGAAUGGCGGCAGCGAGGCCAGCCCCAGCCGGGAGGGGAGGAUCCUGGAGGCGCCCAACCUCCGGAUCUUCACGUUCGCGGAGCUCAAGGCCGCCACGCGGAACUUCAAGUCGGACACCCUUCUCGGCGAGGGCGGGUUCGGGCGGGUGCACAAGGGGUGGGUCGACGAGAAGACCAUGAGCCCGGCCAGGAGCGGCGCCGGCAUGCCCGUCGCCGUCAAGAAGCUCAACCCCGAGAGCCUGCAGGGCGUCCAAGAAUGGCAGUCGGAGGUGAAUUUCCUGGGAAGGCUCAUCCAUCCCAACCUGGUGAGGCUGCUGGGGUACUGCUGGGAGGACAAGGAGCUCCUGCUCGUGUACGAGUACAUGGCCAAAGGCAACCUCGAGGAUCACCUCUUCAGAAGCGAGCCACGGAAAGGCGCGGGCGCGUUCCAGCCGCUGUCGUGGAGCCUCCGGCUGCGCGUGGCGAUCGACGCGGCGCGCGGCCUCGCCUUCCUGCACUCCUCGGAGAAGCACGUCAUCUACCGGGACUUCAAGGCCUCCAACAUCCUCCUCGACACGCAAUUCCACGCGAAGCUCUCGGACUUCGGGCUGGCCAAGGACGGGCCGGCGGGCGGCAGCAGCCACGUGACGACCCGGGUGAUGGGCACCUACGGCUACGCGGCGCCGGAGUACGUGGCGACGGGGCACCUGUACGUGAAGAGCGACGUGUACGGCUUCGGCGUGGUGCUGCUGGAGGUGCUGACGGGCCUGCGCGCGCUGGACACGGACCGGCCCAGCGGCCAGCACAACCUGGUGGACUGGGCCAAGCCGCACCUGGCGGACCGCCGGAAGCUGGCGCGCCUCAUGGACCCGCGCCUCGAGGGCCAGUACUCGUCCAGGGGCGCGCAGCGGGCGGCGCAGCUCACGCUGCGUUGCCUUGCCGCCGAGCACACCAACCGGCCGUCCAUGAAGGAGGUCGUCGCCGUGCUCCAGGAGGUCGAGUCCAUGUCCAGGGGCGGCUUCGUCGGCUCGGCGUCCCCGCGACCAAACAACGCGCGGAGCGGUCACGGUUACGGCCAGUCGCCACCGGCCAGGGUACAUGUCGGAACGGGCUAG